GAUGAACGCUGACAGAAUGCUUAACACAUGCAAGUCUUUGGCGAAGCUGUGCUUGCACAGCCUAGCCAAGGCGGACGGGUGAGUAACGCGUAAGGAACUUGCCCUGCAGUCAGGGAUAACAGACGGAAACGACUGAUAAGACCUGGUAAAGUCAGGCGGACUCAUGUCCAGCCUGAUGAAAAGAGAUGCUGCAGGAGAGCCUUGCGUCCUAUUAGCUUGUUGGUGGGGUAACGGCCCACCAAGGCGAUGAUAGGUAGCCGGCCUGAGAGGGUGGACGGCCACAAGGGGACUGAGAUACGGCCCUUACGCCUACAGGAGGCAGCAGUGGGGAAUAUUGGACAAUGGGGGCAACCCUGAUCCAGCAAUUCUGUGUGCACGAUGAAGGUUUUCGGAUUGUAAAGUGCUUUCAGCAGGGAAGAAAAAAAUGACGGUACCUGCAGAAGAGGCGACGGCUAAAUACGUG
This 463-nucleotide ribosomal RNA is filed under the name uncultured bacterium. Its description in RNAcentral is "partial 16S ribosomal RNA". It matches the Rfam family "Bacterial small subunit ribosomal RNA", at positions 28 to 507 of the family's 1533-position model. The record is from RNAcentral.